This 88-nucleotide transfer RNA is filed under the name Candidatus Atribacteria bacterium. RNAcentral describes it as "tRNA-Leu". It matches the Rfam family "tRNA". From Rfam's summary of the family: Transfer RNA (tRNA) molecules are approximately 80 nucleotides in length. RNAcentral also lists the same sequence under 1 other name. Lineage: Bacteria; Pseudomonadati; Atribacterota; Atribacteria. The record is from RNAcentral.
GCCGAAGUGGCGGAAUCGGCAGACGCGCUACGUUCAGGGCGUAGUAGGUUUUACACCUGUGGGGGUUCAAAUCCCCCCUUCGGCACCA